This 25-nucleotide non-coding RNA is filed under the name Mus musculus (house mouse). The record is from RNAcentral. Lineage: Eukaryota; Metazoa; Chordata; Mammalia; Rodentia; Muridae.
UUAUAAUCAAUCAUGGAUGAAGCAG